CUACGGGUUGCUCCAGUGGGGAAUAUUGGACAAUGGGCGCAAGCCUGAUCCAGCAAUGCCGCGUGUGUGAAGAAGGCCUGAGGGUUGUAAAGCACUUUCAAUUGGGAGGAAUAUGCGCAGGUUAAUAGCCUGUGUUUUGACAUUACCUUUAGAAGAAGCACCGGCUAACUCCGUGCCAGCAGCCGCGGUAAUACGGAGGGUGCGAGCGUUAAUCGGAAUUACUGGGCGUAAAGCGUACGUAGGCGGUUAUUUAAGUCAGAUGUGAAAGCCCCGGGCUUAACCUGGGAACUGCAUUUGAUACUGGAUGACUGGAGUUUAAUAGAGGAGAGUGGAAUUUCAGGUGUAGCGGUGAAAUGCGUAGAUAUCUGAAGGAACACCAGUGGCGAAGGCGACUCUCUGGAUUAAAACUGACGCUGAGGUACGAAAGCGUGGGUAGCAAACAGGAUUAGAUACCCGAGUAGUC
This 463-nucleotide ribosomal RNA is filed under the name uncultured bacterium. RNAcentral describes it as "partial 16S ribosomal RNA". It matches the Rfam family "Bacterial small subunit ribosomal RNA", at positions 339 to 795 of the family's 1533-position model. The record is from RNAcentral.